This 97-nucleotide ribosomal RNA is filed under the name uncultured bacterium. RNAcentral describes it as "partial 16S ribosomal RNA". The record is from RNAcentral.
CGGGUCGUAAAACUCUUUUGCCUGUGAACAAGAAAGAUACGUGAAUAACGUGACGAUUUGAGAGUAGCAGGAGAAAAAGCACCGGCUAACUACGUGC